AAAACACAGCACUCUGCAAACACGAAAGUGGACGUUAUAGGGUGUGACGCCUGCCCGGUGCCGGAAGAUUAAAUGAUGGGGUGCAAGCUCUUGAUUGAAGUCCCGGUAAACGGCGGCCGUAACUAUAACGGUCCUAAGGUAGCGAAAUUCCUUGUCGGGUAAGUUCCGACCUGCACGAAUGGCGUAACGAUGGCCACACUGUCUCCUCCCGAGACUCAGCGAAGUUGAAGUGUUUGUGAUGAUGCAAUCUCCCCGCGGCUAGACGGAAAGACCCCAUGAACCUUUACUGUAGCUUUGCAUUGGACUUUGAACCGAUCUGUGUAGGAUAGGUGGGAGGCUUUGAAAGCGUGGACGCCAGUCUGCGUGGAGCCGACCUUGAAAUACCACCCUGGUUUGUUUGAGGUUCUAACCUUGGUCCGUUAUCCGGACUGGGGACAGUGCAUGGUAGGCAGUUUUGACUGGGGCGGUCUCCUCCCAAAGUGUAACGGAGGAGUACGAAGGUACGCUAGGUACGGUCGGAAAUCGUGCUGAUAGUGCAAUGGCAUAAGCGUGCUUAACUGCGAGACCGACAAGUCGAGCAGGUGCGAAAGCAGGUCAUAGUGAUCCGGUGGUUCUGUAUGGAAGGGCCAUCGCUCAACGGAUAAAAGGUACUCUGGGGAUAACAGGCUGAUACGCCCAAGAGUUCAUAUCGACGGCGGUGUUUGGCACCUCGAUGUCGGCUCAUCUCAUCCUGGGGCUGUAGCCGGUCCCAAGGGUAUGGCUGUUCGCCAUUUAAAGAGGUACGUGAGCUGGGUUUAAAACGUCGUGAGACAGUUUGGUCCCUAUCUGCCGUGGGCGCUGGAUAUUUGAAGGGGGCUGCUCCUAGUACGAGAGGACCGGAGUGGACGAACCUCUGGUGUACCGGUUGUCACGCCAGUGGCAUCGCCGGGUAGCUAUGUUCGGAAGAGAUAACCGCUGAAAGCAUCUAAGCGGGAAACUCGCCUUAAGAUGAGAUAUCCCCGGGGCUUCGAGCCCCUUGAAGGGUCGUUCAAGACCAGGACGUUGAUAGGUCAGGUGUGGAAGCGCAGUAAUGCGUUAAGCUAACUGAUACUAAUUGCCCGUAAGGCUUGAUCCU
Molecule: ribosomal RNA, 1114 nt
Filed under: Paraburkholderia sp. BL9I2N2
Lineage: Bacteria; Pseudomonadati; Pseudomonadota; Betaproteobacteria; Burkholderiales; Burkholderiaceae
Description: partial 23S ribosomal RNA
Rfam family: Bacterial large subunit ribosomal RNA
Source: RNAcentral